UAAGUGCACGCCUUCAUACGGUGAAACCGCGAAUGGCUCAUUAAAUCAGCUAUGGUUUAUUGGAUCAUACCCGUUAAAUGGAUAACUGUAAUAACUCUAGAGCUAAUACAUGCCCCGAAGCCCUGACCCGCGAGGGAAUGGGUGCACUUAUUAGAUCAGAAGCCAACCAGGUAGUGUCCUCUCGCUUUCGGGUGGGAGCUCCGCUGCCUGUCGUCCUUCUGGUGACUCUGGAUAAUUGUUACAGAUCGCAGUCGGCCUUGCGUCGGCGACGGGUCCUUCAAAUGUCUGCCCUAUCAACUUUCGAUGGUAGGUGACCUGCCUACCAUGGUGAUAACGGGUAACGGGGAAUCAGGGUUCGAUUCCGGAGAGGGAGCCUGAGAAACGGCUACCACUUCCAAGGGAGGCAGCAGGCGCGCAAAUUACCCACUCCCAGAU
Molecule: ribosomal RNA, 435 nt
Filed under: Dibothriocephalus latus
Lineage: Eukaryota; Metazoa; Platyhelminthes; Cestoda; Diphyllobothriidea; Diphyllobothriidae
Description: SSU rRNA
Rfam family: Eukaryotic small subunit ribosomal RNA
Source: RNAcentral